GAUUCUGGCUCAGGAUGAACGCUAGCGGCAGGCUUAAUACAUGCAAGUCGAGGGGCAGCGGGAUGUAGCAAUACAUUGCCGGCGACCGGCGGAUGGGUGCGUAACGCGUAUGCAACCUACCUUAUACAGGGGAAUAACCUUUCGAAAGGGAGACUAACACCCCAUAGUAUUGAUUUAAGGCAUCUUAGAUUAAUUAAAUAUUUAUAGGUAUAAGAUGGGCAUGCGUAUGAUUAGCUAGUUGGUAAGGUGACGGCUUACCAAGGCGACGAUCAUUAGGGGUUCUGAGAGGAAGGUCCCCCACACUGGUACUGAGACACGGACCAGACUCCUACGGGAGGCAGCAGUGAGGAAUAUUGGUCAAUGGGCGCAAGCCUGAACCAGCCAUGCCGCGUGCAAGGAAGACGGCCUUAUGGGUUGUAAACUGCUUUUACAUAAGACUAACCGUAUAUUUGCGAAUAUACCUGAAUGUAUUAUGAGAAUAAGGAUCGGCUAACUCCGUGCCAGCCGCCGC
Molecule: ribosomal RNA, 511 nt
Filed under: uncultured bacterium
Lineage: Bacteria
Description: bacterial SSU rRNA
Rfam family: Bacterial small subunit ribosomal RNA
Source: RNAcentral